GGUGCUUGCAUCAUGAUUUACAUUUGAGUGAGUGGCGAACUGGUGAGUAACACGUGGGAAACCUGCCCAGAAGCGGGGGAUAACACCUGGAAACAGAUGCUAAUACCGCAUAACAACUUGGACCGCAUGGUCCGAGUUUGAAAGAUGGCUUCGGCUAUCACUUUUGGAUGGUCCCGCGGCGUAUUAGCUAGAUGGUGGGGUAACGGCUCACCAUGGCAAUGAUACGUAGCCGACCUGAGAGGGUAAUCGGCCACAUUGGGACUGAGACACGGCCCAAACUCCUACGGGAGGCAGCAGUAGGGAAUCUUCCACAAUGGACGAAAGUCUGAUGGAGCAACGCCGCGUGAGUGAAGAAGGGUUUCGGCUCGUAAAACUCUGUUGUUAAAGAAGAACAUAUCUGAGAGUAACUGUUCAGGUAUUGACGGUAUUUAACCAGAAAGCCACGGCUAACUACGUGCCAGCAGCCGCGGUAAUACGUAGGUGGCAAGCGUUGUCCGGAUUUAUUGGGCGUAAAGCGAGCGCAGGCGGUUUUUUAAGUCUGAUGUGAAAGCCUUCGGCUCAACCGAAGAAGUGCAUCGGAAACUGGGAAACUUGAGUGCAGAAGAGGACAGUGGAACUCCAUGUGUAGCGGUGAAAUGCGUAGAUAUAUGGAAGAACACCAGUGGCGAAGGCGGCUGUCUGGUCUGUAACUGACGCUGAGGCUCGAAAGUAUGGGUAGCAAACAGGAUUAGAUACCCUGGUAGUCCAUACCGUAAACGAUGAAUGCUAAGUGUUGGAGGGUUUCCGCCCUUCAGUGCUGCAGCUAACGCAUUAAGCAUUCCGCCUGGGGGAGUACGGCCGCAAGGCUGAAACUCAAAGGAAUUGACGGGGGGCCCGCACAAGCGGUGGAGCAUGUGGGUUUAAUUCGAAGCUACGCGAAGAACCUUACCAGGUCUUGACAUACUAUGCAAAUCUAAAAAAAUUAGACGUUCCCUUCCGGGGACAUGGAAUACAGGUGGGUGCAUGGGUUGUCCUCCAGCUCCGGGUCCUGGAAAUGUUGGGGUUAAGU
This 1048-nucleotide ribosomal RNA is filed under the name Lactiplantibacillus plantarum. RNAcentral describes it as "bacterial SSU rRNA". It matches the Rfam family "Bacterial small subunit ribosomal RNA", at positions 64 to 1085 of the family's 1533-position model. The record is from RNAcentral. Lineage: Bacteria; Bacillati; Bacillota; Bacilli; Lactobacillales; Lactobacillaceae.